This 558-nucleotide ribosomal RNA is filed under the name Klebsiella pneumoniae. Its description in RNAcentral is "partial 23S ribosomal RNA". It matches the Rfam family "Bacterial large subunit ribosomal RNA", at positions 194 to 844 of the family's 2925-position model. The record is from RNAcentral. Lineage: Bacteria; Pseudomonadati; Pseudomonadota; Gammaproteobacteria; Enterobacterales; Enterobacteriaceae.
UGAAACAUCUAAGUACCCCGAGGAAAAGAAAUCAACCGAGAUUCCCCCAGUAGCGGCGAGCGAACGGGGAGCAGCCCAGAGUCUGAAUCAGCUUGUGUGAUAGUGGAACGGUCUGGAAAGUCCGACGGUACAGGGUGACAGUCCCGUACACCAAAAUGCACAGGUUGUGAACUCGAAGAGUAGGGCGGGACACGUGGUAUCCUGUCUGAAUAUGGGGGGACCAUCCGCCAAGGCUAAAUACUCCUGACUGACCGAUAGUGAACCAGUACCGUGAGGGAAAGGCGAAAAGAACCCCGGCGAGGGGAGUGAAAAAGAACCUGAAACCGGUAUAAUGGGUCAGCGACUUAUAUUCUGUAGCAAGGUUAACCGUAUAGGGGAGCCGCAGGGAAACCGAGUCUUAACUGGGCGUUAAGUUGCAGGGUAUAGACCCGAAACCCGGUGAUCUAGCCAUGGGCAGGUUGAAGGUUGGGUAACACUAACUGGAGGACCGAACCGACUAAUGUUGAAAAAUUAGCGGAUGACUUGUGGCUGGGGGUGAAAGGCCAAUCAAACCGGGAG